UAAUACAUGGGGAGCUUGCGCAGGCAGGCUGAGAGGAAGCGGCGCUUCGACCCUUUGACCUGAUUUGGAUAAUGCCAACGCAGGGAAGGUUUCUU
RNAcentral lists this non-coding RNA (95 nucleotides) under human gut metagenome. RNAcentral describes it as "TPP riboswitch (THI element)". It matches the Rfam family "TPP riboswitch aptamer (THI element)", at positions 6 to 96 of the family's 105-position model. Rfam says of the family: Vitamin B(1) in its active form thiamin pyrophosphate (TPP) is an essential coenzyme that is synthesised by coupling of pyrimidine and thiazole moieties in bacteria. The previously detected thiamin-regulatory element, thi box was extended, resulting in a new, highly conserved RNA secondary structure, the THI element, which is widely distributed in eubacteria and also occurs in some archaea. The record is from RNAcentral.